This 216-nucleotide unclassified non-coding RNA is filed under the name uncultured bacterium. Its description in RNAcentral is "contains 16S-23S intergenic spacer region". The record is from RNAcentral.
UCCUCUUUACAGAGGCAGUUUGUUCCGAGUUCCCGACAUUACUCGCUGGCAACAGAACAUGAGGGUUGCGCUCGUUGCGGGACUUAACCCAACAUUUCACAACACGAGCUGACGACAGCCAUGCACCACCUGUGUAUCACCCUCGAAGGCGACUACUUUUCGGUAGCUUGCAGAUACAUGUCAAGCCCUGGUAAGGUGGGGAUGACGUGAGGUAGC